CCUAGAGUUCGGGCUGCACGCGCGCUACACUGACAGAGACAACGAGUGGUGCCCCUUGUCCGAAAUGACUGGGUAAACUUGUGAAACUUUGUCGUGCUGGGGAUGGAGCUUUGUAAUUUUUGCUCUUCAACGAGGAAUUCCUAGUAAGCGCAAGUCAUCAGCUUGCGUUGACUACGUCCCUGCCCUUUGUACACACCGCCCGUCGCUACUACCGAUUGAAUGGCUUAGUGAGGACUUGGGAGAGUACAUCGGGGAGCCAGCAAUGGCACCCUGACGGCUCAAACUCUUACAAACUUGGUCAUUUAGAGGAAGUAAAAGUCGUAACAAGGUAUCUGUAGGUGAACCUGCAGAUGGAUCAUUUCGAUGAAAAACCUUUUUUUCUGAGGUGUGGCUCGCACCUGUCCAACUAAACUUGAGCUACCCUUUUAUACACGGUUGCAUCGGUCGGCCUGUCCAACAGUGCGCGCGCGAAAUUUAUUUUCCGCUGCACUGAGCAGACGGGUCGGCACUUUACACAAACACUUUUGAUAAUCUAGGAUUUGAAUGAAAGUUCAUUUUUAUGAUGGAUCCGACUGGUAAUGCGGUCGUCUAAAUCUAAAAAACAACUUUUGGCAACGGAUCUCUUGGUUCUCCCAUC
Molecule: ribosomal RNA, 637 nt
Filed under: Ustilaginales sp. LM652
Lineage: Eukaryota; Fungi; Basidiomycota; Ustilaginomycetes; Ustilaginales
Description: bacterial SSU rRNA
Rfam family: Eukaryotic small subunit ribosomal RNA (bases 1-361)
Source: RNAcentral